GGUGGCCGCAAGGCCCUAAGCAGCUGCUUAGUUCGCGUGUGAUUUAAGGCUGAUUUAUACUCCGGCGUCGAGCCUACGCCGUAGCCUGACGCGAACCCUACGCCUUUCCGUUCGUCUUCCGCCAUUCUGAAGUAAACAUGGAGCGGUUCGAGGAGAGACUUGUCGAAGAAGUUAGAAAAUAUACACAUUUAUAUGAUACAUCAUCACAACAUUACAAAGACAAUAAUAUGGCUGCCAGUUCGUGGCGCGAAAUAUCGUCUAGAAUCGGUUUGGACGUCCUCGAAUGUAUGAAAAAGUGGAAAAAUGUGAGGGACAAAUAUGUUCGCCUACGGAAAAAAAUGUGCAACAAGAAGAGCGGUGAUCCUGGAGGGCAAAAACUACCUGCAUUUUAUACUUUUCUCUCCUGGUUGGCACCACAUGUGAAGCACAGAGAGACUGAGUUAAACUACAUCGAUAAACAGGACGGAGACACUGGCAGCAGCACUACAUCAUCACCGCUUUCACAAGAAGACAUGUCCCAGCCCCAGGAGCAGAGUGUUCCCUUCACAUCUGGCCGACAAAGCCCACCAUGUAUUGCCCUUUCUAGUACAGCCACCCUAGAACAGUCUACUUCAAGCAGUGCAAACAACCGUUCUGUGUUCACCAGCCCAGCUAAAAAGAAAAGACGGGAUCUGGAAGACUGUGGCUUAAAACAGCAAAUGAUGGAGCUUGAAAAACGCAGGUUAGAACUCGAGAAGAGACUCUUUGAAGAAAAUGAUGAGCUCACAAGGUUUGCCCUCUCAAUGGCAGACAUGCUGAGAAGGUUGCCAGAACAAGACAGGCCACAUGCCAUGUUUGAAAUACACAAACUCCUGUACCAGAAGCAGCAGCGUUGCAGCACAGCAUUAUAACACUGAGCACUUGUUUGGCAUUGAUCUUUGUUUGGUACAUUUUUGCAAGUUUAUUUUCAUUUAUUACUGCCAUUUUUAACCUGUUAGUCAUUGUUCUUGUUUUAGUGUUAUUGUUAUACUUUAUAACUAUGCACAUUUGUACAUAAAGUACUAAAGAAAAUUUUUAAGAAGUUUAAUAAAAAAAACACUUUUUUAUACAUCUACUGCAAGCCAAUGUGCUAUUUGUUGUUUUCUGAAGAAAAAUCUUUAAAUUACAUCUUUUUAAAUUCUCCAGAUUAAAAAUUGGAGCAUAGAGCAUGGUUGGCAUGAUUGCCAGUAGAGCAUUAGUUUGAAAAUCUUUUACAAAGACAGUUAAAA
Molecule: RNA transcript, 1247 nt
Organism: Erpetoichthys calabaricus (reedfish)
Lineage: Eukaryota; Metazoa; Chordata; Cladistia; Polypteriformes; Polypteridae
Gene name: transcription factor Adf-1-like
Exons: 3
Source: RefSeq, a predicted model, not a curated record